RNAcentral lists this ribosomal RNA (432 nucleotides) under uncultured bacterium. Its description in RNAcentral is "partial 16S ribosomal RNA". It matches the Rfam family "Bacterial small subunit ribosomal RNA", at positions 338 to 795 of the family's 1533-position model. The record is from RNAcentral.
CCUACGGGUGGCAGCAGUAGGGAAUAUUGGGCAAUGGACGGAAGUCUGACCCAGCCAUGCCGCGUGCAGGAAGAAGGCCUCUGGGUUGUAAACUGCUUUUAUCAGGGAAGCGGUACCUGAGGAAUAAGCACCGGCUAACUCCGUGCCAGCAGCCGCGGUAAUACGGAGGGUGCAAGCGUUGUCCGGAUUUAUUGGGUUUAAAGGGUGCGUAGGCGGCCCUGUAAGUCAGUGGUGAAAGCCUCCAGCUCAACUGGAGAACUGCCAUUGAUACUGCAGGGCUUGAGUACAGACGAGGUUGGCGGAAUUGAUAGUGUAGCGGUGAAAUGCAUAGAUACUAUCAAGAACUCCGAUUGCGUAGGCAGCUAACUAGGCUGUACUGACGCUGAGGCACGAAAGCGUGGGGAGCGAACAGGAUUAGAUACCCCUGUAGUC